GUCGAGCGAACUGAUUAGAAGCUUGCUUCUAUGACGUUAGCGGCGGACGGGUGAGUAACACGUGGGCAACCUGCCUGUAAGACUGGGAUAACUUCGGGAAACCGAAGCUAAUACCGGAUAACAUCAUUCCUUGCAUAAGGAAUGAUUGAAAGAUGGUUUCGGCUAUCACUUACAGAUGGGCCCGCGGUGCAUUAGCUAGUUGGUGAGGUAACGGCUCACCAAGGCAACGAUGCAUAGCCGACCUGAGAGGGUGAUCGGCCACACUGGGACUGAGACACGGCCCAGACUCCUACGGGAGGCAGCAGUAGGGAAUCUUCCGCAAUGGACGAAAGUCUGACGGAGCAACGCCGCGUGAGUGAUGAAGGCUUUCGGGUCGUAAAACUCUGUUGUUAGGGAAGAACAAGUAUGAGAGUAACUGCUCGUACCUUGACGGUACCUAACCAGAAAGCCACGGCUAACUACGUGCCAGCAGCCGCGGUAAUACGUAGGUGGCAAGCGUUAUCCGGAAUUAUUGGGCGUAAAGCGCGCGCAGGCGGUUUCUUAAGUCUGAUGUGAAAGCCCACGGCU
This 567-nucleotide ribosomal RNA is filed under the name Bacillus sp. CSu5_11. RNAcentral's name for it is "bacterial SSU rRNA". It matches the Rfam family "Bacterial small subunit ribosomal RNA", at positions 61 to 609 of the family's 1533-position model. The record is from RNAcentral. Lineage: Bacteria; Bacillati; Bacillota; Bacilli; Caryophanales; Bacillaceae.